GAGGGUAUAGCUCAGUGGUAGGGUGUAUGCUUAGCCUGUAUGAGGUCCUGGGUUUAAUCUCCAGUACCUCCA
This is a transfer RNA of Camelus ferus (Wild Bactrian camel), 72 nucleotides long. It matches the Rfam family "tRNA". Rfam says of the family: Transfer RNA (tRNA) molecules are approximately 80 nucleotides in length. Their secondary structure includes four short double-helical elements and three loops (D, anti-codon, and T loops). Lineage: Eukaryota; Metazoa; Chordata; Mammalia; Artiodactyla; Camelidae. The record is from Rfam.